AACAUGAAACCUGUGGUCUACUGAACCAACAGCUGAACCACAUGAAUAUAACCUCUUAGACUGGAAGAAAUUCAUCUUUAAGAGAAGGAAUUUGAGACUGCACUAUGCCCUGUUUUCAAUGUAUAAUUUAAUGGAUUUUCUACCUUCUCCCCUCCCCCUGUGUGCCACUCAGUAAUAAUAUAAUUAUGGAAUAUCUUCAAAGGUUGGACUAGACCAAGCAUAAUAUUCAAAAGGUACUCUCAUCUUUCAAGACCUUCAGUUGCCCCCAAGGAAAAGAUGCGCAGAAAGGAAACCAUCAGAUGUGGAAAGCUGCUCUGUAAUGUCCCACAUGACAUGUAAUCAAAGCCAUCAAAGAAGCAUGAAAACUCUGGACAAACUUCCAUGACAUUUGGUUCUGCAACAUCCAUGAGCCUAAACCUACCACACACUGCAUCAGGAAAAGACCACAUCAUGAAUGCUUAUGGCAAAGCUGAUUUCUUGUAGGUUUACAGAGCAAGUUGGUUUGUAGUGGUUUCACUUUAGCAUCUGUAACUUACAGUAAAAAUAUUAAGGUGUAUGGAGAAGGAAUAAUGACUAGAAUAGAAUAUGACAUCAAAAUCCAGAUUUUUGGUGAGAGAGAUAUAACUUCCUGAAUGUCUUAUUAUGCACUGGUCACUGUGACACUCUCCUGUUAAGUCCAUAUAUAAAUUACACACAUUCAUCAAAAUUCAGAUAUUAUGUCACAGUGAGAGUAUUAGAGAUUUUCUAAUUCAAAUGAGUAGAGAAUUUAUUGCAUCUGCCACAUAUGUUCUUCCCUAAUCAUUUUAUAAGUGUCCAAGUGUUCAACCUGGAAGGCAUGAAGCAAAAUCUGGUCUCAUAACUACUGACAGUUCUGUAUUACCUCAAUAGAUAUGUAGAUACGAAGCCACAUUUGGCAGUCAAAAGCACUUUGGUUAUGAGAAAAACACACAGUAGGUCAUGUUACAAAGCUGACAACAACCUUAAAGAAACAGAGACUACAUGACAUCCCAACUAGUUGUUAUUCUUUAGUGAAAGGGGACUCCUCAGUUCUCCUUCAGGUGUUGCAUUCUUAAAGCUCUUUCUCCAUGUUUGUCCCUCUUUCUCAAACCAAACUUUGCUUUCUAGCCAGGUUAAAAUCAAACAAAUAUUGAUCAAGACACAUUUCAAAUUUUCUAAGCCGUAUCUUUCUUCCACUGUUAGUCUCAAUUCCAUUCUAAAUCCAUCAUUGCUUUUUUCUCAUAGAAGAAUGAGAAUUCAUGUAAACAGUAUGUUUGGAGGGGCACAGAGCUGACUUUCUGUCCCCAGGCAGUGCACACAGACAGGCAUAUUGCUCUUGGGUCUGCAAAAAUCAUUCCAGUCCACAUCAUUCUUUCAUUAGUUUUCCUCUUGUGACGGCCAACAACAUUGCCAAUUAACACUAAUCAUGGUAUGGACACCUGUCCACUAUGAAAGAGGCUGAAAACAAUUAUGUAGUCAUUUUACAAAGCUCAUGAAGCAGCUGUCAAAUGAUAAUGACUUUCAGUCACUGUUGGCUUUGGCUGUGUUGCAACAGGUGGCCAAAAGGUGAAAUACUACUUAUGCCAUUAUCUUCUGUCUUAAUUAUUCUAGCCUCUGUUUUCAUACUCACCCCUACAUUCCACAGUACUUAAGCUUACGAUGAGGAAUGACAGAUAUAAUGUCUAUGAAUGUAUGUCACAUAAGCUCCUACUGAUUGUAAAGUCUUUUCAAAUAUGAAGAAAUUUAUAUAUCUCAUCUCUUCAAGAAGAUAAAAUGGUAGAUACUUAAACACACUGAGAUUAAAAAUGGAAAUUGG
Long non-coding RNA from Gallus gallus (chicken), 1813 nucleotides. The record is from Ensembl. NCBI's taxonomy places the organism in Eukaryota, Metazoa, Chordata, Aves, Galliformes, Phasianidae.